UGCUGUUUUCCAUACAAUCAAGUGGGAAGUUAAAGAUUUUUAGGAGACCCAUCUGAGAUGAAGCUAUGAAAGAGCAACAUCUGAGCAACUCAAGAACCCUAAACUGCAAAUAUGGUUCCUGAUAAGAAGAAAUAUGGUGCUGCAGAGAACCGAAAAUAACCUUUAUAAAGCGUAGCACAGUAUGGAAAGAUUAUCCAGAGCCUUUUUAUAAAUGGAGGAAAAUGACAGCUCCUGCCCAUCAUGUAUGGCUUUGUUCUGCAUGUCUCUGGUGGAUUCUGCUGCCUACUGGAGAACUCCUGCCACAUGCUCUCACACACCAGAGACAGAGGACUAAGCCCUUUCUCUUCACUGCAGUGUGUUUGCCAGCAUCCAUGUUUAAUACAGUGUAGUCAGCUCUGGAAAUAUCACCCUGCUGAUC
Molecule: long non-coding RNA, 418 nt
Organism: Cyprinus carpio (common carp)
Lineage: Eukaryota; Metazoa; Chordata; Actinopteri; Cypriniformes; Cyprinidae
Exons: 4
Source: RefSeq, a predicted model, not a curated record